CGCCAUUUCUACAAGUGCACAAAUCAUGGGGUCUGUGCUUGCAAUUUUCAUUUUUUUUUGUUUAAGCUUUGUUUGUUUGGUUUUGAAUUUUGCGUUCUCUUGUGUGUAUUGGUUCAGUCUUGGAAGGGUGUGUGUGACAUGUGGAAAUGGGAGGAUGAAUAUGAGGAUUUCUUGAAGAAUGGUUGUCAAGAUGUGCAAGAUCAGAGUGUGGGCAGUAGCUCAAUGCGAAGGACAUAUGCGGUGAAAGAGAAGAAGGAAGGAAUCAUGAAGAGGAAGAAGCAUUUCAUGACAGGUGGAGGCAGUGAUGUUGAGAGGCAUUUGGAGGAGAUUAUUUGGCUACUGAAAUGUGUGUUAUUUUCUCUAGGAUUGUUGGUUUUUCUGAUGUUUGUUUAUGUGAUCAAGCACUGAAUGAUGUGUGAGAGUGAGAAUGAAGUUGAGAGUGAGAAUUUGGAUGUGUGAGUUUGAUGUAAUAGUAGUUUGGAAGCAGUGAACUAAGUGAAAUAAAUUCAAAUUUGGGUUGUGUGUUGU
Molecule: long non-coding RNA, 528 nt
Filed under: Hordeum vulgare
Lineage: Eukaryota; Viridiplantae; Streptophyta; Magnoliopsida; Poales; Poaceae
Description: long non-coding RNA (HVUL_LNC007580)
Source: RNAcentral